Molecule: long non-coding RNA, 914 nt
Filed under: Lathyrus oleraceus (garden pea)
Lineage: Eukaryota; Viridiplantae; Streptophyta; Magnoliopsida; Fabales; Fabaceae
Description: Pisum sativum (pea) long non-coding RNA (PSAT_LNC037800)
Source: RNAcentral
GUUGAGGCUCAUUAUAGUCGACAAACAAUUUGUUUGCUUUGAGAUAGGCCUCUAUCAUUGCCACAGUCUCGUCACUUCUUCCAGUUAGUUUGAGGUAUUGUAAUGUUACAUGAUCUACCGGGAAGAAACCCAUGGUUGCUCCAUAUUCAGGAGACAUAUUGGCAAUAGUGGCCCUAUCAGCUAAUGAUAAUUCACCCAUACCAUUGCCAUGAAAUUCAACAAAUUUCCCUACAACACCAUGUUUCCUAAGAAUUUGUGUGACAGUUAGAACCAAAUCAGUUGCUGUAACACCAUUGCGCAAUUUUCCAGACAACUUGAACCCAACAACACCAGGUAACACCAUACUCAUUGGCUGGCCAAGCAUUGCUGCCUUACAGUAACUGGUAUUGCAGCGGCUGCUCUAGUUUCAUUUGCUUGUUGCCUCAAAUCCUGUCUGAUUUUCACAUAAUUAUUUUGCAGUAACUUUGCUGCAGUGACAAGGGUUGAACGUGCUUACAGGUCGGACGUUACAACUCUAUUGUGCAGGCUGAUGCAAGUUAGUGUAGGAUGCUUACAAGGCAAUGUUAAGUGUUUUCCGCUCCUGAAUUCCUUUGCUGCUGUUAUGCCUUGAUAUUAUUUUGCGACACCCGGUCAUGAGGUCUCUUUGGUCCCGAGAUACAUGGUUCGACUUCGUCAAGAUUUAAUUCAAGAUAGGAAGAAUAAGCUCUGUCUUGUUGAGGCUCAUUAUAGUCGACAAACAAUUUGUUUGCUCUGAGAUAGGCCUCUAUCAUUGCCACAGUCUCGUCACUUCUUCCAGUUAGUUUGAGGUAUUGUAAUGUUACAUGAUCUACCGGGAAGAAACCCAUGGUUGCUCCAUAUUCAGGAGACAUAUUGGCAAUAGUGGCCCUGUCAGCUAAUGAUAAUUCACCCAUACC